GCGGGAGUGGCUCAGUGGUAGAGCACUUCCUUGCCAAGGAAGAUGUCGCGGGUUCGAAUCCCGUCUCCCGCUCC
This 74-nucleotide transfer RNA is filed under the name Dictyobacter aurantiacus. RNAcentral's name for it is "tRNA-Gly". It matches the Rfam family "tRNA". Rfam says of the family: Transfer RNA (tRNA) molecules are approximately 80 nucleotides in length. Their secondary structure includes four short double-helical elements and three loops (D, anti-codon, and T loops). Lineage: Bacteria; Bacillati; Chloroflexota; Ktedonobacteria; Ktedonobacterales; Dictyobacteraceae. The record is from RNAcentral. RNAcentral also lists the same sequence under 9 other names.